RNAcentral lists this ribosomal RNA (1415 nucleotides) under uncultured Alphaproteobacteria bacterium. RNAcentral describes it as "bacterial SSU rRNA". It matches the Rfam family "Bacterial small subunit ribosomal RNA". The record is from RNAcentral. Lineage: Bacteria; Pseudomonadati; Pseudomonadota; Alphaproteobacteria.
AGAGUUUGAUCAUGGCUCAGAACGAACGCUGGCGGCAGGCUUAACACAUGCAAGUCGAACGAUAUAGUGGCAGACGGGUGAGUAACGCGUGGAAACGUGCCUUUCACUACGGAAUAGCUUUUGGAAACGAAAGGUAAUACCGUAUACGCCCUCCGGGGGAAAGAUUUAUCGGUGAAAGAUCGGUCCGCGUUAGAUUAGCUAGUUGGUAAGGUAACGGCUUACCAAGGCUACGAUCUAUAGCUGGUCUGAGAGGAUGAUCAGCCACACUGGGACUGAGACACGGCCCAGACUCCUACGGGAGGCAGCAGUGGGGAAUAUUGCACAAUGGGCGCAAGCCUGAUGCAGCCAUGCCGCGUGAAUGAUGAAGGCCUUAGGGUUGUAAAAUUCUUUCGCCAGGGAUGAUAAUGACAGUACCUGGUAAAGAAGCCCCGGCUAACUUCGUGCCAGCAGCCGCGGUAAUACGAAGGGGGCUAGCGUUGUUCGGAAUUACUGGGCGUAAAGCGCACGUAGGCGGACUAUUAAGUCAGAUGUGAAAUCCCGAGGCUCAACCUCGGAACUGCAUUUGAAACUGGUAGUCUAGAGAUCAGGAGAGGUUAGUGGAAUACCGAGUGUAGAGGUGAAAUUCGUAGAUAUUCGGUGGAACACCAGUGGCGAAGGCGACUAACUGGACUGAUACUGACGCUGAGGUGCGAAAGUGUGGGGAGCAAACAGGAUUAGAUACCCUGGUAGUCCACACCGUAAACGAUGAGUGCUAGUUGUCAGCAGGCAUGCCUGUUGGUGACGCAGCUAACGCAUUAAGCACUCCGCCUGGGGAGUACGGCCGCAAGGUUAAAACUCAAAGAAAUUGACGGGGGCCCGCACAAGCGGUGGAGCAUGUGGUUUAAUUCGAAGCAACGCGCAGAACCUUACCUACGCUUGACAUGCCUGGACGACUCCGAGAGAUCGGUUUCUCCCUUCGGGGCCAGUGCACAGGUGCUGCAUGGCUGUCGUCAGCUCGUGUCGUGAGAUGUUGGGUUAAGUCCCGCAACGAGCGCAACCCUCAUCCUUAGUUGCCAUCACGUUUGGGUGGGCACUCUAGGGAAACUGCCGGUGCCAAGCCGGAGGAAGGCGGGGAUGACGUCAAGUCCUCAUGGCCCUUACGCGUAGGGCUACACACGUGCUACAAUGGCAGUGACAAUGGGAUAAUCCCCAAAAGCUGUCUCAGUUCGGAUUGUCGGCUGCAACUCGCCGGCAUGAAGUUGGAAUCGCUAGUAAUCGUGGAUCAGCAUGCCACGGUGAAUACGUUCCCGGGCCUUGUACACACCGCCCGUCACACCAUGGGAGUUGGAUCUACCCGAAGAUUGUGAGCUAACUUCGGAGGCAGCAAGCCACGGUAGGUUCAGCGACUGGGGUGAAGUCGUAACAAGGUAGCCGUA